RNAcentral lists this ribosomal RNA (501 nucleotides) under uncultured bacterium. RNAcentral's name for it is "partial 16S ribosomal RNA". It matches the Rfam family "Bacterial small subunit ribosomal RNA", at positions 30 to 523 of the family's 1533-position model. The record is from RNAcentral.
AUUGAACGCUGGCGGCAGGCUUAACACAUGCAAGUCGAGCGGGGGAAGGUAGCUUGCUACCGGACCUAGCGGCGGACGGGUGAGUAAUGCUUAGGAAUCUGCCUAUUAGUGGGGGACAACAUCUCGAAAGGGAUGCUAAUACCGCAUACGUCCUACGGGAGAAAGCAGGGGAUCUUCGGACCUUGCGCUGAUAGAUGAGCCUAAGUCGGAUUAGCUAGUUGGUGGGGUAAAGGCCUACCAAGGCGACGAUCUGUAGCGGGUCUGAGAGGAUGAUCCGCCACACUGGGACUGAGACACGGCCCAGACUCCUACGGGAGGCAGCAGUGGGGAAUAUUGGACAAUGGGGGGAACCCUGAUCCAGCCAUGCCGCGUGUGUGAAGAAGGCCUCAUGGUUGUAAAGCACUUUAAGCGAGGAGGAGGCUACUCUAGUUAAUACCUAGGGAUAGUGGACGUUACUCGCAGAAUAAGCACCGGCUAACUCUGUGCCAGCCGCCGCGGUAA